RNAcentral lists this non-coding RNA (92 nucleotides) under Peptoniphilus sp. ING2-D1G. Its description in RNAcentral is "SAM riboswitch aptamer (S box leader)". It matches the Rfam family "SAM riboswitch aptamer (S box leader)". From Rfam's summary of the family: The SAM riboswitch is found upstream of a number of genes which code for proteins involved in methionine or cysteine biosynthesis in Gram-positive bacteria. RNAcentral also lists the same sequence under 1 other name. Lineage: Bacteria; Bacillati; Bacillota; Tissierellia; Tissierellales; Peptoniphilaceae. The record is from Rfam by way of RNAcentral.
ACCUUAUUAAGAGUGGUGGAGUGAAUGGGCACGAUGAAACCCGGCAACCUAAAAGGUGCUAAAUCCCACAGAGCUGCUCUGGAAGAUGAGGU